Harpia harpyja (harpy eagle) is the source of this 5629-nucleotide long non-coding RNA. RefSeq lists it as uncharacterized. The record is from RefSeq and is a predicted model, not a curated record. NCBI's taxonomy places the organism in Eukaryota, Metazoa, Chordata, Aves, Accipitriformes, Accipitridae. The transcript has 2 exons.
AGUGGUAGGAGAGAUUAAGUAGAGAUGGUGCUCUUCUCCAGCUAUGAGAUAGGUAGUCUUUGCCAGUUUAUGCCACCUCAAAUGCUGGAAGUGAAACCGUGCUGCUCUGCACUUAAGAGACCACAGUGGAGACUAGCAUGGCUGCAUUUGGCUUCUCAAAUUGAAAAGAAGAUGAUCUGAAGAGGAAGAGCCAGUUUGGUUCUUGGAUCCCUAGAGAAAGAGAGCCGACUACGCAAUUACGUUAACCAUGAUGUUUCAUAAUAUGCCAGACCAGUGCAACGUGGAAUCAGUGAAAGAGGCUCCCUAAACCUAACAGUGACCAACUAAGCGUUAGAGGUAGCCACUCACAAGAUGAAAAGGUCCUCUUCACAGGAGCUACAAUCCUCGCCAACUUCUUGAGAAUACAUUAACAUCUGCCUGAGAGAAGGGAGACAGAUUAAUUGAACAUACCUACAGUGAACCUCAAAGCAUUAUGAGAAGACAAGGAUUACAACUAAAAACUUCACAUCCAUUUCUUGGAGACCAAUCAGACUAACACUUGCCUCGAUAUCUGAGGCAACAGGGUAGUCUUUAUAUGGCACUGGGCUAGAAAGCAGGCUGUUUUCAGUUCUGCUACUGAUCAGUGGUGAACCAAUGGUGAGUCACAACCUCUGCUUUUCUUCCUGCCUUCCAUCUGCUCCAUCAGCUCACUGGCAGAGUGAUUGUAUGUGUGCAGAGUGCCCAGCAGCUCUCACACCAGUCAGCUACAGUGGAACCAGAAUCUCAAAGAGAUGAGCUGAAGCAGUGGGAAACGUUGACAAUUCUAAGACAAGAAGGAAAGUACAAAGGAGCAGUGUCCUCUUUAUCCCACAUCACACUGCUGUCCUAUCGGGACCAGGACCACCCAGAUGUCCAUUAUUACCUCUGGUCAUUGAGCCGUCGGUACUUCUCCUUGUCAGCAUUGUUAAUUUUCAGGAGUGGUUGCAGAUGCUCAUGGUGCGUCUUCACAUUCUGGUUGUCCACAUACACAUCAUAGAGAUCCCGUUUCUCCUCAAAGAUCUUUUCUGUUGUACCUGCCAAAAUCAGAGAAGAUUUUCAGAGCAGCAUGUUGCUGUCCCAACAGAACAACUGUUCUCUCCUGCUUUCGUAGUCAUUCCAUGCACGUCCUAUUUCUCAUCAGUUUUAUUCCACAGUCUGGUGUGUGUCUCAAGACAUUUUGCAGCCUGAAGUUAAAAACGUCACGCCUAAUCCAUCAUACUUACAGGCCACAUAUGAUACUUCUGUCUCCAGCAUUUCUAUGUCUGCCACAUUCACAUAGAAGAAUGGUUUGGACUCUGGGACAGUUCCUCCAAGACCAGGGAGAGAAACAUUGGCAAGGCAACAGCAGCAAUACACUGCGGACAAGAGAAGUACAUCCUGAGAUGCUUUCAGUAUACCCUCAAGGACAUUCUGAGCCCCACUUACCCAGUUCUCCCACACACUUCUAUGAAAACAACGGUUAGAGCUGUGAAAUGUCCCUGAACACCAGAACUUCUCAAGUGGGGACAUCCUGUUUUGGAUAGGAAAUAAUCGGUUCUCCCAUAGGAAUCCCAUGUUCUAGACGCCACAAAUUCAUUCAGCACUCCUGUUGUCCUGUGCUGACAGGAACUGUGUUUGACAAUGCCAGGUAUGUCCUUACCCAAAAGGCCUGAAGAAAAGCAUUUUGUAGGAAAUGGGUAAAUGCAGGCUGAACAGUAUCUUCUCAAGGAAUGGUUGCAGUGGAUUUUGAAGACCUGCAUGACGUCUAUCCCCCCUCAGUACCCACAGGCAUUUCUGCAGUGCUUCAGCCUACUAGAUCAGAGCACUGCGGUGUCCCUGGAAACAUACCUCUAUAGCAGACAACUCCAACUGGGGGCGGUGAAAAUAUCAAUAUGCGCUUGCGCAGCAGGGCAAACUUCCAGAGGACAAGGAUCUGCUCACCGAAGAAUUUGAUGAACUGAGACAUACAGCCAGCAGGGUGUGUGAUCUGCAGGUGGAGGGAAAGGGAAUUAAAAAGCUCAGAGGUGAAGCAGGGACACAUGCACAGAUGCUAAGUCUAAAUGUGGGAGCAAGACCAGCACACGGCAAUGACAGGGAACUGCAGCUUGUAACAGUCCAAGUAACAAAAUCUUAUCUAAAGCAGCCUACAAAGCGCUGGAGUGACUGCUUAUAUAAAGAAGUAUGAGACACCACCAAGGAGCAGCACCACGCUGCCCGCUCCUGCAAGCUUCAGAGCACCUGCCUCACCUUCAUCUCUGGGUACAUGUAUCUGUGGAUGGAUGGCAGCCAGUGGACAGGUUGCUGAGAGGUGGCAGUGCCCUUGCUAUCAGGGAGAACUCCUUUCUUGUCAUCAUAGAAUGCCUCUAGAUGAGAGUAGUGCCCUGGCAUCUCCAGCUGGUGUCUGGAAAAGAAAGGAAAAAAGAGAUCUGCAGUGUCUCCAGACUCUACUUAUUAAGUGCCUUGCCCCCAGCCAACAUCUGCUUUCCCAGCUAGCAAAGGAGCCCUGGGUGCCUCAGUUGCACAGACUUAUCCAGGAGCGCAGCUGAAGCGUCAGGAGUAACACCAGCUUUCAGUGCAGCCAGAGAACACGGGCAGGACUGAAGCAGACAGCAAGCUGAUGUAUCCAUAGUACUGAUCCUCUUUUAAAAUAUGCUCAGGUAGGAACAGCUUUCCAUUCUACCAUCACCAUUUUCCCUGCCAAGUCCACUCAACACAGCUAAAGCACACACCUAGCCAGGAUCACCAUCAUAGGUUUAGAAGCCUUUUUUGAGCCCUUAGUAAAAUGGUUUUCAGAAGGAGAAAAGGAGAACUUCUUGUCCUCUCAACUGCCCCUUUGACACUUAGGUCCACACAAAAUAAGUAGGAUUUGGAUAGCAUUUGACUAGCCUGUUAGCGAUGAACAGAGUGCUGCUAUCAGUUCCUUGUCUCCUUCCCGUUGUGAACCUGUAACUCUUUCUGGAGAAGUAGUUAUUCAAGGAAGUCGUAGCUCAGUGUUGUAGCCAAAUUCUCACUCACGCCUAAAACCGCUCUCCAUCAAGGCAACUUUACCUCUCCUAGGCAGGGAGUGGCCAGUCCCAUUCCCAAGGGAACUUACCUGACCUGGUUCUCCAGGAAGUGCAUGUACCUAUACAGCAGGGUGUAGGAAGGGGAGAGAAUCCCCACGGACUUCAUGCGGGCACCACGCUCUAACUCACUCUCCACAGGCAUGUUGGCAAAGCAGGCCAGGCCAAAACAGAGCCCCUUCCGGAAAUAACUGGAGACAAAUAUUUGACAGAAGGGUUAGUGUUAAAAAGAGCAAAAAGGAAGGAAGAAAGAAAGAAAGGUAACUGACCACAAAAAAAUAGUGAUUAGGGAACACAGUUCCUUCUUUAAGGAACCCCCUGAAAUCCCACCCUGCUAUCUGAAGGGCUGAGGACAGGCCUUGCGUGUCCUAGUCUUCUCAGGAACAAGACAGGACAUUUAAAGCAAGAGUUCCCAGGAGUUCCCACUAAAGCCCCUACCAGCCACGUCACUGGAAUGCAAGAAAGGAAAGAACUUGGAAGAAAGACCAACAGAGGAUGCAGGACCCAGCCAACACAGUGCCCUUCUUCCAAGGAAGAAAAGCCUGCAGUGCAUGAAGUUCUGAGUACAGUCUAGCUACCUAGUCAUAUUUUGGGUGCCAGCAUGUCGAAGCAUACUCUAGCUGAGUAAAAGGGUUCAAGUCAUGUGCCUUUGAGAAAGUAACUGUUAUUCCUGACCAAAAGGAAUUGUGACACUGCAAUUCAUUGCAAAACAUUGCUGCAUUGCAACACUGGGUUAGUAAAAGGAUGGGAACGCAGAAAAUUCCUAGCUUAUGUCUUUCCACUGAAGGAAGGAGCUAGCAAAGAAGAAAGUGAGCAAGGACUGUUUAUCACAACAUUUAAAGGAUCCAAAAGCACUUGCAGAAUUAAGAACCUUUUUCUAAGUCCAGUUCCUGCAAAAUCCUUCCCGUUUCAGUUCUGCCAUUCUUUCCCCUUCACCCUAGGCCUCUGCUGACAGUCCCAGUAGCGUCACUGCGGUAUGAUUUGCCCGAUACGCAUUAAAAUUUGCACACCAAGAAGCUGGCCUGCCCCAUUCACCAGCUGGCCUCCACAGCCAAAGCUGUCAUGCAGCAGAGACCCACAGCUAGCUGGUACUUGAUAUGAUGUUGAGAGUAACUGAAGAGUAUCUUUGGCUCAGCUAGAUAAAGUUUAGCAGCACGUUUAUGCAGGAACUCAAAUUCAUAGAUGGUAUUUUUCUUGCAUGUUCUGAGUUAAGGGACGGUGGUGUAGGUUUACAGCUUAGAGAAAGAAGUAAUAUAGCUCAGACAUACUCACAUGAAAUCUGACUGGAUUUUGUGGGACCCACUUGCCAUGGAUUUGAAUUCCACACCUUCUAAAUCAAUAUCUUGGGGUAAACACCACUCCACCAUGUUGCCUGCAGAGAAGCAAAUUUAUUUUAUUGGGUAAACUUGAACACAGUACUCAUUUCUAAAGCGCAAACACUAGCAACAGCAAGUUGUUGCUUUUACAUCACUGGGAUGCCAGUAACAGUGCACUAACGCAACUCCUGAACCCCUAAAUUGUCACAGACAGUAGCUGACAUACUAUACUCCACAUCUCUUGCAAAAGUUACUUGUUGCAGCACAACACCCUGAUAUUGCAGGACUUCUGGAGCCGUUUCUGAGGCUAGUGCUAUUUUGUGGGUUUAUCCUUUAUAAGCUGAAUCAUGUAGCAGCUACAAUUUUACCUGACAGUGGAUAAGCUAUGGUAUUAACGCUGUUCUACUCAGGCCGUCUACACGAGUACCCAAUAUAGAAAGAACCCAAAGUAUAGACUGCUGCUCUUUAGGAUGAGUUUCUGCAAUAGCUCAUACCACCAUCAAUAUUGUCCUUUGGCAGGGCUCGGCAGGGCUGGUCAAAGAGAAACCCCUAAGCCAGCACCCCAGUCAUCACUACUUCCCUGGAAUCCUCGUAUUUUGUUUAGGAUAGGAGGAGUUAGCUGAAGGUUUAUAUGGAGGCUGAGGUGAUCAAAGUACUGCAACAUGUUUGUGCAUGCUAGAAUAACCAAACAAAAAAGCACAAAAAUUACAAGCUAGAUCAAGAUUAGCAAACAUCUGUCACCUGCCAACCCAGCCAUAAAGCAUGCAGUUGUUCAGUGGAAAAGGCCACCUGAGGAGCCUGAUCCUGGAACAGAUGAUGUCAGAGAAGUCACAAAAAGCCCCUAAAGCCAAUAAAAUCCCGCUCUGCUGCUGGCAAGUUUACCGUGGACAAAAAAGGAGGACUUCUUAUGCUUUCCCAUGCCAGCACUUCAGACCCUAACCCACUCAUCUGGAUGCUCUCACUGCACCGAGGGGUGCUCCAGGUUUACCCACUGAGUUUCUGUUCUCUGUCAGCCUGCCCAUAGCAACAGCAUUUGAAGUAAUGCGACUUCUUUUUAGCAACAAACCAAACAAACAUUCUUCAGUAUAAUGCAAUGGCAGGUGCAGCACGAAGAUGCUUUCUACUGGUACAGUCCUUCCCCUGCCCUUUGGGGUAAGCAUCCCAGCUGUGCUUGCACGGCCAGUGUACAUUUGGAAGGGCCUUACACUCAGCUGAGACUUUAAGAUGUAUUUAAAUAUAAGCCUCAUUUCUGAA